AAAAAAGCAGGGUCAUGUUGUCUUCUGUGAACACGGCUCUCGUAAACUUCAGGAAAAGUAACUGCAUUAUUAUUGGGUGAACCUCUGUUGUUAUUGGUGACUGAAGGUUCAGUAAAUGAUGUCACAUUU
The sequence is a small nucleolar RNA, 129 nucleotides long. It matches the Rfam family "Small nucleolar RNA snoR74". The record is from Rfam.